GGAAAUUGCUUGAUGAUACACCCAAAGUAGAAAGUAUUGGAAGGAAAGGAGGAGGGGAAUUAGUUGGUGUGAAAGAAAUGUAAUGCCGAGAGACAAGGCAAUGGAAUUGAAGUUGAAGUCGUAGUUGAGGUUAAAGGGUGGUGUUAUUAUUGGAGAGAGGUUGUUGUGGAGUGGAGUAUUGAGUGUUGAGUGCAACAUAAGCCACAGACCAAAAGGGCACAACAUGACAGAAAAAGAGAGCCACUUGAAUACCUCUCACGUCAUCACUCUCUCUCUCUCUCACUGUUUAUUUCACUGUUUCUUUCUGCAUUCCUUUUGCUUUUCUGUUGCUUGCCUCUUCCCAAUGCCCCAGUUUCUUUCCCACGCUCUGUCUAAGGAACUCAUUCCCACACGCGCUUCCAAUGCCCACCACGCGCCUCCCGUACCACUGUCUCCAUUUUCACACUUUCUGCCAUUAUUCCAGCCUACUCAUAAUCAUGAUUUAGUGUAAAAAUGAUCAAUACCCAAACUGGCUGCAAAAAUGGGCCUGUAUCGGUGGAUUGGGCCUAGGAGAAUAAUUAAGUAAGCCUGGACCAAUUUGAC
This 582-nucleotide long non-coding RNA is filed under the name Vigna radiata. RNAcentral describes it as "long non-coding RNA (VRAD_LNC008322)". Lineage: Eukaryota; Viridiplantae; Streptophyta; Magnoliopsida; Fabales; Fabaceae. The record is from RNAcentral.